This is a long non-coding RNA of Prosopis cineraria, 300 nucleotides long. RefSeq lists it as uncharacterized. The transcript has 2 exons. The record is from RefSeq and is a predicted model, not a curated record. Lineage: Eukaryota; Viridiplantae; Streptophyta; Magnoliopsida; Fabales; Fabaceae.
UUUUGAGAGGUGUGCUCUGCCAACUCUUCCUUCCCCAAAGUCGUCCUUUUUUCCCAGGCUUCUUGAGACUGCCUUGGUUAGACUCUUGCAUAGCUUAGCAGUUUGAUUCAAGUCAACUGUGAAGAAGUUAGAGCGGGCACCCUGUAUAUGCAUAAAGUUCAAGAUAAAUUGUACCGUUCGUAGUUUUGUUGUGAAUAUUGAUUACUUUCUGUAAUUAUUUAUAAGAGCUUGGGUAAAUGAGAGGCGUGUGGCUAUCCUUGAAGUGCCAGUUUGCUUAUAAAAUUAUAAAAGCUUCGUUUC